Molecule: transfer RNA, 73 nt
Filed under: Acidimicrobiia bacterium
Lineage: Bacteria; Bacillati; Actinomycetota; Acidimicrobiia
Also listed under: 3 other names
Description: tRNA-Glu
Rfam family: tRNA
About the family: Transfer RNA (tRNA) molecules are approximately 80 nucleotides in length. Their secondary structure includes four short double-helical elements and three loops (D, anti-codon, and T loops).
Source: RNAcentral
GCCCCCAUCGUCUAGCGGCCCAGGACACCGCCCUUUCAAGGCGGCAGCACGGGUUCGAAUCCCGUUGGGGGCG